GUGACCUCAAAUCAGGUAGGACUACCCGCUGAACUUAAGCAUAUCAAUAAGCGGAGGAAAAGAAACUAACAAGGAUUCCCCUAGUAACUGCGAGUGAAGCGGGAAAAGCUCAAAUUAAAAUCUGUCAGCCUUGAUU
This 136-nucleotide ribosomal RNA is filed under the name uncultured Cortinarius. Its description in RNAcentral is "partial 28S ribosomal RNA". It matches the Rfam family "Eukaryotic large subunit ribosomal RNA", at positions 1 to 135 of the family's 3401-position model. The record is from RNAcentral. Lineage: Eukaryota; Fungi; Basidiomycota; Agaricomycetes; Agaricales; Cortinariaceae.